This 108-nucleotide ribosomal RNA is filed under the name uncultured bacterium. RNAcentral's name for it is "partial 16S ribosomal RNA". It matches the Rfam family "Bacterial small subunit ribosomal RNA", at positions 1375 to 1482 of the family's 1533-position model. The record is from RNAcentral.
CGGGGAUUGUACACACCGCCCGUCAAGUCACGAAAGUCGGCAACACCCGAAGUCAGUGGCCCAACCGCAAGGAGGGAGCUGCCUAAGAUGGGGUUGGUAAUUGGGACU